This 406-nucleotide ribosomal RNA is filed under the name Bacillus sp. 175-3.1-CV-H(s)-01. RNAcentral describes it as "bacterial SSU rRNA". It matches the Rfam family "Bacterial small subunit ribosomal RNA", at positions 76 to 473 of the family's 1533-position model. Lineage: Bacteria; Bacillati; Bacillota; Bacilli; Caryophanales; Bacillaceae. The record is from RNAcentral.
GAGCUUGCUCCCUGAGAUUAGCGGCGGACGGGUGAGUAACACGUGGGCAACCUGCCUAUAAGACUGGGAUAACUUCGGGAAACCGGAGCUAAUACCGGAUACGUUCUUUUCUCGCAUGAGAGAAGAUGGAAAGACGGUUUCGGCUGUCACUUAUAGAUGGGCCCGCGGCGCAUUAGCUAGUUGGUGAGGUAAUGGCUCACCAAGGCGACGAUGCGUAGCCGACCUGAGAGGGUGAUCGGCCACACUGGGACUGAGACACGGCCCAGACUCCUACGGGAGGCAGCAGUAGGGAAUCUUCCGCAAUGGACGAAAGUCUGACGGAGCAACGCCGCGUGAACGAAGAAGGCCUUCGGGUCGUAAAGUUCUGUUGUUAGGGCUGAACAAGUACCAGAGUAACUGCGGGUAC